UACGAGGGGGGCGAGCGUUGUUCGGAAUUAUUGGGCGUAAAGGGCGCGUAGGCGGUGCGGUAAGUCACCUGUGAAACCUCUGGGCUUAACUCAGAGCCUGCAGGCGAAACUGCCGUGCUGGAGUGUGGGAGAGGUGCGUGGAAUUCCCGGUGUAGCGGUGGAAUGCGUAGAGAUCGGGAAGAACAUCAGUGGCGAAGGCGGUCUGCUGGGCCGUUGCUGACGCUGAGGCGCGACAGCGUGGGGAGCAAACAGG
Molecule: ribosomal RNA, 253 nt
Filed under: uncultured bacterium
Lineage: Bacteria
Description: partial 16S ribosomal RNA
Rfam family: Bacterial small subunit ribosomal RNA
Source: RNAcentral